GCUAGCUUAUUCACCAACAUAACCAAACAAUAUAAAUAAAAUAAAAUAAACCAACACCAAAAACUAAACCAUUCUUUUACCUGAGUAUGGGAGACAGAAAAGGUUCAACCAAAGCAAUAGAAAUAGUACCGCAAGGGAAGGCUGAAAGAGGAAUGAAAUAACCCAUAUAAGUAUUAAAAAGCAAAGAUUAAACCUUGUACCUUUUGCAUCAUGAUUUAGCCAGUAAAUGCAAGCAAAGAGACCUUUAGUUUGAAACCCCGAAACCAGGUGAGCUACCCCGAGACAGCCUAUUAAGGGCCAACCCGUCUCUGUGGCAAAAGAGUGGGAAGAGCUCCGGGUAGAAGUGACAGACCUACCGAACCUGGUGAUAGCUGGUUGCCUAAGAAAUGAAUAGAAGUUCAGCCUCGUACACCUCAGAUCAGACAAGCACUAACUAAGAUAUAAGAGAAAAAUACGAGAGUUAGUUGAAGGGGGUACAGCCCCUUUAACAAAGGAUACAACCUUAUCCAGGAGGAUAAAGAUCAUAAUAUAUAAAAUAUACUGUUCUAGUGGGCCUAAGAGCAGCCACCUAAACAGAAAGCGUUAAAGCUCAGACAGAAAGAAGUUUAUUAUUCUGAUAAAAAAUCUUACUCCCCUAAAUACUAUUAGGCUAAUCCAUGCCCCCAUGGAAGAAAUUAUGCUAAAAUGAGUAACAAGAAGGCUCGCCCUUCUCCAAGCACAAGUGUAAGCCGAACCGGACCAACCAUCGGCAAUUAACGAACUCAGCCCAAGAGAGCAAUGUGAACCAUAAAAAAAACAAGAAAAACCCACACUUAACAAUCGUUACCCCCACACUGGAGUGCUAUUAAAGGAAAGACUAAAAGAAAAGGAAGGAACUCGGCAAACACAAGCCUCGCCUGUUUACCAAAAACAUCGCCUCCUGCAACACAACCAUGUAUAGGAGGUCCAGCCUGCCCAGUGACUACAAGUUCAACGGCCGCGGUAUUUUGACCGUGCAAAGGUAGCGCAAUCACUUGUCUUUUAAAUAGAGACCUGUAUGAAUGGCUAAACGAGGGCUUAACUGUCUCCCCUUUCAGGUCAGUGAAAUUGAUCUGCCCGUGCAGAAGCG
This 1108-nucleotide ribosomal RNA is filed under the name Discogobio longibarbatus. Its description in RNAcentral is "partial 16S ribosomal RNA". The stretch from base 179 to 1089 matches the Rfam family "Bacterial large subunit ribosomal RNA", at positions 568 to 2044 of the family's 2925-position model. Lineage: Eukaryota; Metazoa; Chordata; Actinopteri; Cypriniformes; Cyprinidae. The record is from RNAcentral.